CACCGCGUCACCGAUAUCUAGAUUGAUCGGUGGAGGAAAGGCAAGAGUUGUAAGGCAGUAGGCCAAUGACUGAGCAUUUGCUACCUCAAUCCAGGAAGGAAAAAAAAGAAGGACACACGUGCAAUCGGGAUUUAUGGCCCCCUCGGCCCUUUGUAGUUCAGCACAAGCCAAUUUGGCUAAAGACCAGGUGGGCCGGUAGCCAGAAAUGUUGCAGCAUGAAUCAAAGGUAUACUGCAGAAGGCAUUGCAAAAUGGGAGUAAGGCAUGGUGAAAUUGGAAAAUGAACAGAUUGGACAUCAAAGAACAACCUAAGCAAGAAGACCAACAUAAAACAAGCAAGCCAAAAGACUUACUGCCAUAAGCAAGUGCUCCCAAGACCUCCCCAAGGCCGCAUCCUGGCUGGUUGUCUCCUCCAUUGGGAUAGACGUCGAUGUGCCCCACAGGCAUCUGGAUGCCAAUGCUAAUGCCCAGCGCUUCCCGCGUGUAAGUGUGCAAGACGUCCACAAAAUCUGCAUCGUCGGGAGAGAGGCGCCGGUUGGGUUCGGCGCCUUCAAACAUUGGGCCAGCCGGGUCCAAGCCUGCAGCAUUCAAGGCGCCUUGUUAAAACUUCAGCCAAGGGAGACACAGAUGUUUCACAGGAAGCUGCUUCAUAUAACAUUAAGCCACCAAACCCACCAUUGAGUGCAUCCACAUUACACCGGUAGAAUAGUUUGAUGCAACUUUAGCUCUCAAGGCACCAUCCUACAGAACUUUGGGACCAAACAUUUGGUAAUAGCUGUCCCUCUACAGGUUUGACUUUACCAAGUUUGAAUAUUAAUGGAUUUGAUGACAAUGUUCCCUCCAGGUCAUCCAAUAUGACUUUAUGGUCAACUUCUAGAGUUGUGUUCUAGGUGUUACCACAGUAUUGUAUUGGAGGACCUAGAGAUUCCUAGGGAGGUGUUACCUCUAGUUUAAAAAAUUGGGUUUUUUGCAUUCUUGUUUUUCCCGGUUUUGUAGGGGCCCUGCACCCCUAUCUCCAGCAAAUAUGGAGGGCUGACUGUACAGCACCAGAACAUAUUCAAUCCCAAAGCAACUUACAAAUCCCAGUAUUUCCUAGGAAGCAGCCAUGACAGUUAAAGUGGUAUCAAACAGUUAAAGCUUUGAAGUAUAGAAAUACAAUAGGGUGUUUGGAAAAGAAUUCCCUAUUUUUAAGUAUAAAUACAUUAAAACUAGGGAGUUCUUUUUCAAACACCCUGUAUAUUCUUAUAGAAGCUCUCUUUGCCAUCACCUGCAAUAUUCCACAGAAAUCCUUCUGCACAAACGGCAAGGCCUUUGUCACUGGGUCAGUGUCCCUUUCUUUGUUUCAGCUGCUUAAUAUACUGUAAUAUCCCGUUCUCCCCCAAUUCAAAAUCUGAAAUUGUUUGCAUUAGGUCUAAAAAAAAGUCUUCGAGAUCAUGGAGCAAAGAUAGGGAUAGUUGGGAUUUUCUGCAUGACUGCAGCUGGGAAUAAGAAAGAGUAGCCUGGGAGCCAAUAAGGAGGUUUUCCAUAUAGUUAUUCAAUUUGAGGGGGAUUUAGAAUCACUGUAAAUAGAAAUUCCCUAUCUAUUCACAUUCUGUGCUUGGGGGAAGGUGGGGGAUUUUUGUUGACAGAACAUAGGGAGAAAUGAAAGGGAGUAACCACACAUUUUCUGGGGCUGUCUACAUAUUCUUUGGGUCUCCAACCUGGGAUUAUCCCUGAGGAAAUGUGCCUCAAGAUGUUAGGAAUGUCUCUUGAUCCCUGCCCAAGAUUUCCACCCCAGAAUGACACCUUCCAGUUUGUUGACUCUCAAAAUUAAAUCACCGUCUAAUUCAAGACCUGAUCCAGAUCUGG
Anolis carolinensis (green anole) is the source of this 1847-nucleotide long non-coding RNA. RefSeq lists it as uncharacterized. The transcript has 2 exons. The record is from RefSeq and is a predicted model, not a curated record. NCBI's taxonomy places the organism in Eukaryota, Metazoa, Chordata, Lepidosauria, Squamata, Anolidae.